AAUAACCCGUUCGAACCAACCUGCCCGAAUUACUUUUAAUCCAGUCCGUUGAUCGUUUUUAUCAAUGGUCCAGAUUACCCCCUUCCUUUUUAAUUACCAAUCACCCCUAACCCUAAUCACUUCCUGUCUAUAGCUGCCUUUGAGUCCCCACCCUCUCCUAACACUCUCUCAAAAGAACCCUAGCUUCCAUCUUUAAUCACCACCCAAAACCGACCAAAUUCAUGGCUUCCAAAGCCAUUGAUGGCCCAUAACUACCUCAUGUGACUCCUACACAUUUUAUUACCUUGGUUUUGAGGUCAAAAAUUCGAGAAGCCUGGCUCAGACCUUUACCUACUUGAAGAUCCCGGCCAUCUCCGACCUUGCUCUGGUGGCUCUUGGUCUUUUGAGCCUGAUUGUGAUAUUCUAUGGCUUAGAUCGUGAUUUUUCCAAGCCUUUCUCAG
This 440-nucleotide long non-coding RNA is filed under the name Nicotiana benthamiana. RNAcentral's name for it is "long non-coding RNA (NBEN_LNC012138)". Lineage: Eukaryota; Viridiplantae; Streptophyta; Magnoliopsida; Solanales; Solanaceae. The record is from RNAcentral.